RNAcentral lists this ribosomal RNA (512 nucleotides) under uncultured bacterium. Its description in RNAcentral is "bacterial SSU rRNA". It matches the Rfam family "Bacterial small subunit ribosomal RNA", at positions 28 to 528 of the family's 1533-position model. The record is from RNAcentral.
GACGAACGCUGGCGGCGUGCCUAACACAUGCAAGUCGAACGGAGAUUAUUGAUGAAGCUUGCGAUUUAAUAAUCUUAGUGGCGGACGGGUGAGUAACGCGUGGGUAACCUGCCCAUAAGAGGGGGAUAACAGCUGGAAACGGCUGCUAAUACCGCAUACGCUUUCCGGGACACAAGUGCCGGAAAGGAAAGAUGGCCUCUACAUGUAAGCUAUCACUUAUGGAUGGACCCGCGUCUGAUUAGCUAGUUGGUGGGUAGAAGCCUACCAAGGCGACGAUCAGUAGCCGGCCUGAGAGGGUGGACGGCCACACUGGGACUGAGACACGGCCCAGACUCCUACGGGAGGCAGCAGUGGGGGAUAUUGGGCAAUGGGGGAAACCCUGACCCAGCAACGCCGCGUGAAGGACGAAGGCCUUCGGUUGUAACUUCUUUGAUCAGGGACGAACAAAUAGACGGUACCUGAGGAACAAGCCACGGCGUAACUACGUUGCCAGCAGCCGCGGGAAGUACCGU